AUACGUAGGGUGCGUGCGUUGUCCGGAAUGAUUGGGCGUAAAGGGCGCGUAGGCGGCCCGGUAAGUCUGGAGUGAAAGUCCUGUUUUUAAGAUGGGAAUUGCUUUGGAUACUGUCGGGCUUGAGUGCAGGAGAGGUAAGUGGAAUUCCCAGUGUAGCGGUGCAAUGGGUAGAGAUUGGGAGGAACACCAGUGGCGAAGGAGACUUACUGGACUGUAACAGACGCUGAGGCGCGAAAGUGUGGGGAGCAAACAGGAUUAGAUGCCCUGGUAGACCACACUGUAAACGAUGAAUGCUAGGUGUAGGGGGUAUCGACCCCUUCUGUGCCUCAGUCAACACAAUAAGUAUUCCGCCUGGGGAGUACGUCCGCAAGGUGGAAACUCAAAGUAAUUGACGGGG
Molecule: ribosomal RNA, 397 nt
Filed under: uncultured bacterium
Lineage: Bacteria
Description: partial 16S ribosomal RNA
Rfam family: Bacterial small subunit ribosomal RNA
Source: RNAcentral